UACGUAGGGCGCAAGCGUUGUCCGGAAUUAUUGGGCGUAAAGAGCUCGUAGGCGGCUUGUCACGUCGGUUGUGAAAGCCCGGGGCUUAACCCCGGGUCUGCAGUCGAUACGGGCAGGCUAGAGUGUGGUAGGGGAGAUCGGAAUUCCUGGUGUAGCGGUGAAAUGCGCGGAUAUCAGGAGGAACACCGGUGGCGAAGGCGGGUCUCUGGGCCGAUACUGACGCUGAGGAGCGAAAGCGUGGGGAGCGAACAGG
Molecule: ribosomal RNA, 253 nt
Filed under: uncultured bacterium
Lineage: Bacteria
Description: partial 16S ribosomal RNA
Rfam family: Bacterial small subunit ribosomal RNA
Source: RNAcentral